This 1653-nucleotide long non-coding RNA is filed under the name Parus major (Great Tit). RNAcentral describes it as "lncRNA (ENSPMJG00000009868.1)". The record is from RNAcentral. Lineage: Eukaryota; Metazoa; Chordata; Aves; Passeriformes; Paridae.
CACGGGGCCAGUCUGCAUGGGAUGCAGCCCCUGGCAUGGAGAGGAGCCCCUGAGCCGGGUGGGACGAGACCACGGGAGCCCAGCACCGCUCCAGCCUGGAAAUGUAACCAGCAGGUGCAGAGAUGGUGGAUACAAGGCCAUUUCUGGAGCCCCGUGCACAGGCCCGCAAAGAAAAGCAGUGUGAGAGAAGAGCUGGGUCUCUCGGGAGAGGAGCCGGAGCGGGGAGAGCGGAGUCGCGGCUGCCGCGCCGCACAGAGCCGCCUUUCAUUACAAAGGGCCGGGAAGCGGCUCCGAGCUGCCAGCAGCACCGACACGAUGCGAGAGGGGAUUUUUCAGGCUGAUGCAGCAACAAAGGCAGUUAAAUCUAGCCAGGGGGAAUUAUUUUUGGUAAUCCAUGUGUUGCUGCUCGUUGGGCGCUGGAGCAGAAGUAAGCAGGUAAGCGGCACUUUUAUCCCCAGCCCAGCUUCCCAUCACGACCAGGACUCCAGUGAGGGGCUCUGAGCCUCAAAGAAAAGCGGCAAGGCUGGGCCAAGGCAGCUGGAGCAGCGCUAAGAUCACAGCAGCUGGGAAUUCCAUCUCUUUUUGAUUGAAAUGAUGGCAGGGGGAAGCUACCUGGAGAGGAGCAGCUUCCACAAGCACCUGCUUUACUACAGGAGCUGUGUGUGUUGUCACCGGUGGUUUGGGGUGCUGGCACCCACCUGGAGUCACUCACUGCCUGGCUCUCCUGGCAGGGCAUAGGGGUGCAGGGCAUGGGAAAGCCACCCAUGACACCCACAUUCAUCACCCUGCAAGGACCCCAGCACCCUUGUGUAGGGAGAGGGGCAUGCUGUGGUCCUAGGGCAGGAGGAUGCUCCCAUCACUGGCUCUGCAGGGAGUCCAGGUGGUUCAAGCAUCUCAGUGGGACCUUGUGGAGACUCAAGCCCAGACCCUGAAGCCUGUUGGAGGCCAGGAGGGUGUUUCUGAAGGGAUUUUUGUUUCUAGAGACCUGCAUGCCAGCCCCAGUGCUCCCUAAGAAACACCCUGGGCUGUCCUGGGCAGCUGCCUUCCCACCAGUCCUGCCAGGUGGACGAUGAGCCAGUGGCCUGUGACUCAACACCUCGUCCCAGUGCUUCACAUCAGCAGGUGGGACGUGACACGAGCCCGGAGGCUGCAGUGAGCCAAGCCGGCGGGGGCAGCACUCAGAGAGCUGUGCUGCCCUGCAGGGACCCACGGCCCCUUGCCAUCCCCGGCUCGCGGCCGUGACGGGUGGCCACAACUCCUCUCCCUGAAGGAGCUUGUCAUUUCAUCCUUCUCCUGGUGUCACCUCCUCAGACAUCACCCUGCUGAGGUGAUGAGCUGAGCUCAGAAGGGGCUCUGCAGAUCCAGCUGGUGCAAUGGUGGUGUUGCUCCAUUCCCUCGCGAUGCCUUUGCAUCACCCUGGGCCGUGUGCCGUGCUGGUGCCGGCUGCUUCCUGUAGCUUGUGCCCACACUGUGCUCUGGUUAUCGGUGCAAUCACCACCACCGAGGUGCUCAGCAGCCUGUCCAGAGACCUGAACCCUGCCUUAGUGUGGGGUGAAGGCAGUUGAAAAUCCCUCUUCCUCCCCAUCCUCCUCCUCUUCUCCCUGCGUCCACCACCGCAACAAGAAUAAACCAAUUGCACCAUUAUUCGUUUCA